CCCUAGGGUGGAGUCUGGGGUAGAAUUGUUCCAAGAUAUAUAAGUGAUAACCCUUUAAAAAGAAGGCUCUGUGGGUAUUUACACAAAUAUGCAACAAUAUGAUCCUGAACUGCUUGCGUAAUAAGAGAUCAUAUUGGAAAUAUGUAAUAAGAAAUCAUUUCGUAUGGGCAGUUUAAUAAUAAGCAUGUCAUAGAACGUACUGAGAUUUAUCACAAAAGUAAUAUUUGUAUACCUUGGUGUGCACAAGUACAGGGUUUAACAUAUGUGCGAAUGCAUAUUGCCCAGUUUAAUAAAUGUUAAACUCAGAAAACCUUUUUAUGCCAAUGAUACAAGCAUUGUUCAUCUGAGGUUUGAGCAGGCCAGGAUAGCAGCUCCAAUCUAAUUAGAAAUUAAAGCUACGUCAGCAAAAGUCUUUUGAGUACAAAAACCCCUUUCGUAAUAGGAUAGGUAAAGGCUUACAUACAUCUAUAAACAGUAAUGUAAAGGUAUAAAGACAUUAACACUCAUAAGGAAAAAUCCAGUCUUUUAAAAGAAAAAAAUAUAUAAUUUGUUUACGCAUCUGUUUUGUGAAGAUUAUUCAAAUCCCUGAACUGAUCAAAGCAUUUAGUAAAGGCAAUUAUUGAAAUUGAAGUAUGGAAAUGAUUGCUGAUUCCUGAAUUAGGCUAUAGUAACUCAAAAAUAUCAAAGGAUAGGAUAAUAUGGCAUAGACAAUGAAAGAGGAUCAUCACAUCAUUGCUGCUAAUCAUGGCAAAUGUUAUACAGAACUCCCCUUAUAAGAUUCAAUUGGGAAAAAAAUGGCGCCCAGUCAAUUGAAAGUUUGUGUUCUGUACUUUUACUCUAUUUCUAAAAUAAAAA
This is a long non-coding RNA of Spea bombifrons (plains spadefoot toad), 855 nucleotides long. RefSeq lists it as uncharacterized. NCBI's taxonomy places the organism in Eukaryota, Metazoa, Chordata, Amphibia, Anura, Pelobatidae. The record is from RefSeq and is a predicted model, not a curated record. The transcript is spliced from 2 exons.